AAUCUUAAUUGUUCACAGACC
RNAcentral lists this microRNA (21 nucleotides) under Dictyostelium discoideum. Its description in RNAcentral is "ddi-miR-7096". The record is from miRBase by way of RNAcentral. Lineage: Eukaryota; Evosea; Eumycetozoa; Dictyosteliales; Dictyosteliaceae.